RNAcentral lists this ribosomal RNA (816 nucleotides) under uncultured bacterium. Its description in RNAcentral is "bacterial SSU rRNA". It matches the Rfam family "Bacterial small subunit ribosomal RNA", at positions 51 to 862 of the family's 1533-position model. The record is from RNAcentral.
ACACAUGCAGUCGGACGGUAACAGGGGAGCUUGCUCCCGCUGAUGAGUGGCGGACGGGUGAGUAAUGCAUGGGAAUCUGCCCUUUAGUUGGGGAUACCGUAUGGAAACGUACGUUAAUACCGAAUGAGAUCUACGGAUGAAAGGUGCCCUCUUCUUGAAAGGUAUCGCUAAAGGAUGAGCCCAUGUUAGAUUAGCUAGUUGGUGAGGUAAUGGCUCACCAAGGCAUCGAUCUAUAGCUGGUUUGAGAGGAUGAUCAGCCACACUGGGACUGAGACACGGCCCUGACUCCUACGGGAGGCAGCAGUGGGGAAUAUUGCACAAUGGAGGAAACUCUGAUGCAGCCAUGCCGCGUGUGUGAAGAAGGCCCGAGGGUUGUAAAGCACUUUUAGUGAGGAGGAAAGGUUAGUCGUUAAUACCGGCUAGCUGUGACGUUACUCACAGAAAAAGCACCGGCUAACUCUGUGCCAGCAGCCGCGGUAAUACAGAGGGUGCAAGCGUUAUUCGGAAUUACUGGGCGUAAAGCGCGCGUAGGCGGAUUGUUAAGUCAGUUGUGAAAGCCCUGGCUCAACCUAGGAACGGCGAUUGAAACUGGCAGUCUAGAGUUUAGUAGAGGGAAGGGGAAUUUCUGGAGUAGCAGUGAAAUGCGUAGAUAUCAGAAGGAACAUCAGUGGCGAAAGCGCCUUCCUGGACUAGAACUGACGCUGAGUGCGAAAGCGUGGGGAGCAAACGGGAUUAGAUACCCCGGUAGUCCACGCCCUAAACGAUGUCACUAGCUGUGGUCUUAUUAAAAAGAUUAGUAGCGCAGCUAACGCGAUA